AUACAGAGGGUGCGAGCGUUAAUCGGAAUUACUGGGCGUAAAGCGCGCGUAGGCGGCUACUUAAGUCAGAUGUGAAAUCCCCGGGCUCAACCUGGGAACUGCAUCUGAUACUGGGUAGCUAUAGUUUUGGAGAGGGAAGUAGAAUUUCAGGUGUAGCGGUGAAAUGCAUAGAGAUCUGAAGGAAUACCAGUGGCGAAGGCGACUUCCUGGCCAAAAACUGACGCUGAGGUGCGAAAGCGUGGGUAGCAAACGGGAUUAGAUACCCCAGUAGUCC
This 274-nucleotide ribosomal RNA is filed under the name uncultured bacterium. RNAcentral describes it as "partial 16S ribosomal RNA". It matches the Rfam family "Bacterial small subunit ribosomal RNA", at positions 523 to 796 of the family's 1533-position model. The record is from RNAcentral.